RNAcentral lists this long non-coding RNA (1170 nucleotides) under Bemisia tabaci. RNAcentral describes it as "lncRNA ENSSSA2NGG007353". Lineage: Eukaryota; Metazoa; Arthropoda; Insecta; Hemiptera; Aleyrodidae. The record is from RNAcentral.
CUUGUUCUGUUCAAGUAUCGGCCACAGGUAUCGGCAAAUGCUCAAGUGAACGAACUGUUUCAUGCGGAAGUAAAUUCAUUUUUAUAAUUCAAUCCUGUCGUUUUUUCAGUUAUCGUCUCCUCAGUACUCUUCUAUCUGCUGUCAGAAAAUAUUCCAAUGAGUGAAACAAAGGAUGCAACUAAACUACUGCAAGAGAUGGCAGAUGCUAUUCCUGAAUCGUCGUAUUCGAGAAUAAUGAAGACUGGCGUAAGAAAAGUCUUGUGGACAAGAAUGAAUAUGUUCUAAAAAAGAAUCUAUUCACAGAUGUAUGUUUUAUUGUUGGUGAAGAAAAAAAGAGAUUCAAAGCAAUCAAAAGCAUCCUUUCAGUCGGGAGUCCAGUUUUUGCAACCAUGCUAAGUGAACGGUGGUCGUCUGAUGAAAGCGAAAUUGAGAUACCCGAUGUAAAGCCAGAUGCUUUCUAUGAACUUCUCAGAUUCAUUUACUGUGAAAAAGCUGAACUUCGCUGCGAUGCUUGGCCUAUUUUAUAUGCAGCGAUAAAAUAUGAUGUAGCAGCAUUGAAGAAUAAGUGCAUCGAUUUCCUCAAACAAAGUCUGUCCAGUGCAAAUGUUUGUUUUCGAUUAAUGAAGGUAAGGGAAUCAACAGUGCUGUAUUUUUAAUCGAAAUGUAAAUCAGUGUUAUUAAUCAAGUUGUGGUAUAUGCUGCAGGCAAAUAAUCAAAUCAGGCAUUUGACAAAAUGCCUGAAAAUUUGUGUCAAAUAUUCUCACUCAGUUUAAAAUUCUGAUUCUUCUGCUGAUUUUGGACAAAAUAAUUAUUUGUCUUCAUUGACAGGAAUUAUUGUUAAAAAUUUGCGUCAUUUUAUGGUCGCUGUAAUGAUUUCCAGCCCAGAAAGGAACAUUUAUUUUAUACUAUUGAUAAUGUUUUGAAGUAAGUAUAGAGUUUUUAUAAUUUUGGUGGCUAAAAGUGAAUAGGAGCAUUUUGAAACAGAAAAUACAGUGAAAGCUCGUAGUUUGACGAAUUCUUACUUUCAAAAUAUUGAAAAUUCGGGAGCUGUUUGUAAAAACAUGCAAAACUUUGUAAACUUUCAAAAUUUGACCAUCCAAACCUAACCUAACUCGAAAUAACUUAGGUUUCUAUGUUGUUACGUUGCAAGAAGAAAUUGCAGCCUUGUAA